RNAcentral lists this ribosomal RNA (253 nucleotides) under uncultured bacterium. RNAcentral describes it as "partial 16S ribosomal RNA". It matches the Rfam family "Bacterial small subunit ribosomal RNA", at positions 524 to 776 of the family's 1533-position model. The record is from RNAcentral.
GACGUAGGGAGCGAGCGUUGUCCGGAUUCAUUGGGCGUAAAGCGCGCGUAGGCGGCUUCGCAAGUCGGAUGUGAAAUUCCAGGGCUCAACCCCGGAACUGCAUCCGAAACUGCGUCGCUUGAGGUAGGUAGGGGAGAUCGGAAUUCCUGGUGUAGCGGUGGAAUGCGCAGAUAUCAGGAGGAACACCGGUGGCGAAGGCGGAUCUCUGGGCCUUACCUGACGCUGAGGUGCGAAAGCUAGGGGAGCGAACAGG